Molecule: long non-coding RNA, 189 nt
Filed under: Chrysemys picta bellii (western painted turtle)
Lineage: Eukaryota; Metazoa; Chordata; Testudines; Emydidae
Description: lncRNA (ENSCPBG00000006876.1)
Source: RNAcentral
AUGAAACACUCCACUUUCGGUUAUCCAAUUGCUUCUUUUUUUUCCCCUUCUUUCCCUGUCUAUUUUAUCUUCAAAAGAUAUUUUCGAAUGGAAAGAAGGAUUAAAAUUUUUGCCAAAUUUGGGACCAGGAAGAAAUUUCCACCGCAUUCCCAUGACUUGGAUUGUGGUGGAUCCUUUCACUUCCUCUGA